Molecule: ribosomal RNA, 484 nt
Filed under: uncultured bacterium
Lineage: Bacteria
Description: partial 16S ribosomal RNA
Rfam family: Bacterial small subunit ribosomal RNA
Source: RNAcentral
AUUGAACGCUAGCGGGAUGCUUUACACAUGCAAGUCGAACGGCAGCGCGGACUUCGGUCUGGCGGCGAGUGGCGAACGGGUGAGUAAUGUAUCGGAACGUGCCCAGUAGCGGGGGAUAACUACGCGAAAGCGUAGCUAAUACCGCAUACGCCCUACGGGGGAAAGCAGGGGAUCGUAAGACCUUGCACUAUUGGAGCAGCCGAUAUCGGAUUAGCUAGUUGGCGAGGUAACGGCUCACCAAGGCGACGAUCCGUAGCUGGUCUGAGAGGACGACCAGCCACACUGGGACUGAGACACGGCCCAGACUCCUACGGGAGGCAGCAGUGGGGAAUUUUGGACAAUGGGGGCAACCCUGAUCCAGCCAUCCCGCGUGUGCGAUGAAGGCCUUCGGGUUGUAAAGCACUUUUGGCAGGAAAGAAACGUCGCGGGCUAAUACCCCGUGGAACUGACGGUACCUGCAGAAUAAGCACCGGCUAACUACGUG